AUACGGAGGGAUCUAGCGUUAUUCGGAAUUACUGGGCGUAAAGCGAGCGUAGGCGGAUCUGUAAGUUGGAGGUGAAAUCCCAGAGCUUAACUCUGGAACUGCCUUCAAAACUACAUUUCUUGAGUUUGGUAGAGGAGAGUGGAAUUCCUAGUGUAGAGGUGAAAUUCGUAGAUAUUAGGAGGAACACCAGUGGCGAAGGCGACUCUCUGGGCCAAUACUGACGCUGAGGUUCGAAAGCAUGGGUAGCGAACAGGAUUAGAUACCCUAGUAGUCC
Molecule: ribosomal RNA, 274 nt
Filed under: uncultured bacterium
Lineage: Bacteria
Description: partial 16S ribosomal RNA
Rfam family: Bacterial small subunit ribosomal RNA
Source: RNAcentral